Long non-coding RNA from Quercus robur (English oak), 649 nucleotides. RefSeq lists it as uncharacterized. The record is from RefSeq and is a predicted model, not a curated record. Lineage: Eukaryota; Viridiplantae; Streptophyta; Magnoliopsida; Fagales; Fagaceae. The transcript is spliced from 2 exons.
UGGGUAGGUUCGGAUCAGGCCAAAAAUUUGAAGUUACUAUGCUUAUCUAUUAUUUUUACCCAUUAUAUUUAUAUGAAUGUGUAGUCUAGAUUUGUAACGUAAAGAUCCUUUUAUGGUAUUGGAGAAUUAGAAGACUAAAAGUUACAAAGAAAUAAUAUAAUCUGGAAUUCUAAGCACAAAUUACAUUUGUUUUUACUAUAAAUUUCCUGUUAAUUUUGUUUCCAUUAUCAGUUGUGUUAAUAAAAUAUUUUUAUUUUCUGUUGUUUAUUUAUUUGGUUUUUGAAAAUUUAAGGAGUGGACUAUCAACCUAACGUGGUGUUAGGCUCAGUAGAGUUGUGGUACAAAAGAAAAGGUGGUUGCAAGGAAGUUUUGUAUGCAGAGAGCUCAUUGUAGGAGAAGGUGGGCAGUCAAUGGAUAAUUUUGAUAAGAGGAAUUAGACAUAUUCUUUGACAGAUAAAUCUCCAAGGCUGGAGCUUAAAUGCUGUAAAACAUUGAAAGAGAAUAUCAAGUAGCUUAUGCUGGGUUAUUGAUGGAAGAUGUGAUUUGCAAAUUGUCUCACUAUCUAUAUUUAUGAAUGUUGAGAAAAGAAGACAUUUGAGGUCUUCUACUAAGGCAAUUGUAUGAUCGCAAGUUGUUUUGAGAGCCAUAA